GGAUGGCUGAGGGGGCGUGUCGGAGGGGCACCCGCUUUACUCUACUGGGCAGACUCUGGCUCCAAAUGACAUCACACAAGCAAGAUGGCAGCUCCCGGAAAGGAGGAAGCUUUUUCUUCCUGGACUCGACGCUCUGCAAACAAUGUUAACAGUUUGAAGUGGACCAUGACCCCAGGUGUACCAGAGGCCCAGCUCCUAAUGGCCUGGUCCUGCAGACUGAGGAGAACCAAACUCUUGGCUUUCCUUCAGGACCAAUAAGGAAGGAAAUGGUUGCACUUGUGCCUGUGGGCAGUUUCAGCAGCAGCAUUGGAAACUCUAACCUUAAUCCUAACCCACUUGGGGCUUAGACAGCCAAGCCGAUGUUAGGCACAGCAAGCGCCAGGACCAUGGAUAUACAGUAUACUCAUGGUCAGUGCUCAGCCUCGGGGGUCACAAAUAGCAUAUUAGUCACAAGCGCCUUAUCUUACCUCUUUUGGGGUAAAUGACUAUCAUUCAAGGCCUCCUUGGCCAGACGAUAGAUACAGGCAACAUCUUAGGGAAAAAGUGCAGAACUGCCAGUAGAAAAGUGCAUUUUUUCAUUUUAAACAAAAAGGGCAUCCCACCAAGACUCCAUGCUGAUGAUAGGAAUUCCCUCUGUCUAUGGUACUAUCAUUUAACUAUGAUAAUAAACAGCAUAUAGCCAUAAGUGGCUAAAGAGUUCCUUAAUGGACUGAGACACAAUACCAUAUGGUCAAAGUCAUUUCCUCAACACUGGAAACAAUGCUGACAUGAACAAAAUAGGAUCUGCUGUGCUUUUGAAAACAAAUUUAUCAGAUGAACCCUGAAGAACACACAGGACCAUCCAAGCUUUAAUAUUGACAUUUUUUGGGGCACCUUCCUUGUUUCCAGAAAUUCAAAACUUUUUGCCAACAUGACAAUAGCUAAAUACAAAAUAAAAUGAGGCCACAAUUCAAGCAUUGUUUCUCUGAAAUGCACAUAUUUCUAGAAGAAAAAAAAAAAAGUUACAGCUGCAAAACGUAUGGCAAAACGCAAUACGGCAUUGUGCGGUUAAGCAUGUUAUCUUUGGGACAAUUUAAAUGAGGUUGGCCAGGAAUAAAUUGUCAUGCCAACAAACACAAUACCUUAGCCCCAAACAAAUAUAUUGGACAAAGCUUCAUUGCAGUAGAGUGGAAUGAAAAGUCUCACCUCUCAUGCAUUAAAUCUCAUAUUCUUGAAGGGAUUGAUGCUUCUAACAAUAGUUCACUAAGCCCAGCUUGUGGGGCCCUUUUGCCAUAAUUGCUUGUAGCAGCAUAAUUUUGCUACAAUAACAGCUUGCUAUUGUGGAGAGGAGAAUUAGAAAAAUGUCAAAAUAAAAAAUUUACUCUGCCUGGCAGUCAAAGGGGUAAAUACAAACAGAAAGCUUUGGACUUACAGCAGUGUUUCCUCUUUGUCAGAGCAUUGACAGUUUUUAAAGAGGCAUACCCCAGCAUGAGCUUAUGAUAGGUCACCUUCAAACAUUUACUGCAACACUCAUGAUCGAUAACAUCAGUGAAAUCUGUGCUUUACUUCUGACUUGCUGUAAAACUUGAACUGAGUACCAGACAGUUUAUGACAAAUGAUGACGUUCACAUUUUCCUUUUACUUGAGGGUUUUCAGUUUUAACUCCUAUAUUCAGAGCAAACUAUAUCUAAAAUAGAAUCCGCCUCAAUUAGAACAUAACAAGCAAUUAAAAGUAAAAGGUACAACAAUCAGAGACGCAGUGCCCUGAAAAUAUUCCUGUGAGAGAAGGUCACAAAAAAAGAAAAACAACCAAAGGGCACAGUAUAUAACUUUUUUUGUUGUUGUUGUUUUGCUGAGUGCAUAUUAUAACAGUAGAGAAGGGAGAUUUGUGAGAGAGGAUAUAAUUUAGUGUUGUUUAUGAGUGAAACUAUGCAGUGAGUGUACUUCCUCCGCUGGUAAGCCAGUGAGUAGAGGGGUUCAGUCUGAACAGAGCAAUACUCAUGAUGGUGAAGGAUGGUGAAAGGAACAGAGGCUGGACCACGUCAUGGUGAGGACACCCUUAGCGGCUUUGUGUGACAGUCAAGGUUUUGAAUUUGUGGACGGAUAGCAAGAGUGGAGAUAUACUCAGUAAUUUGGGAAGGCUGAAGACAUAUAGAGGCCAAAGAGAGUAUCUCUGGAAGCUGAUUAGGAGAAAGCUGCUGAAGUCCAGACAGGUUGAUGAUAAAAGUGCAAGCAGGAAAGCAAAGUCGCUGCUGAGAAACAGUCUGCUCCGACACAUUUUGGAAGGUGGAAAACCUCUGGAUAUUUGGUGUUAUUUUGGUUUUAUAAAAAUGUAAAAGUGUGACAUAAAAGUGUGACUUUUGGGACCACAACUUGAUAAUUAACUUUCUACUCUGAACAUUCACAUUUGUAAAAUUCUCACAGAACAUGAGACAAAGUGAUACACGGCGCUGUGAGCAAGUUCUGUGCCAAAUUACAGUGAAUAGAAAAACGAUUUGAGUGACAAAAUCUAAACUCUUAUGUGCAAACAUAAAGCAGAUAAAAAAUACAAAUUCAAAUAUUUUUUUUGUUAUAUAUGUAUUCUAAUAGCAAGGAUUACUGACUCACCAAGGUAAUUCUUCAACAACUAAUAAUGAUCUGUCUUCCUUUUCAUUUUUAAUUUAUACUGUAUUCUUUUUUGUCUAAUGGUUAUAGAUUAAAAAAAAACAAAAACAAAGUUGGAAGCCAAAUGAGUAACAAACAAAAUACCAAAAGUAAUAUGCUUUUCCACACUCUGUAUAGCAAAUAUUUUAAAAAAAGAAGAGAGGUCCAAAGCACUCUUCUGGCAAAAAAGUUUAAAAACCUUUAUUCAGAUGGUUAUUUUAUGAUUUCAUGGUGAAAUUCUUAAAAACAUAGACAAUACUUGCAUGUUAAAAUAGAGCUGAGUUACAACCCACGCGUAGCGGCACACACACCCUGAAGAUGGCUGUUUGUGCUGCUAUGCGGGGGUUGUAAACCAGUUCUAUUUUAACAUGCAAGUAUUGUCUAUGUUUUUAACUUUUGUGUUCCCUACCAAAGAGCACAUUCAUCACACUUGUUUGUACCUUUUCUUUCUGUAGCAAAUAUUUAAAUUGAUUUUGCUCUGUUACAGUAUCUAUAUGUAAACCUAUGAAAGGCCUAGAUUUGUAAAACAUGCAUUGCUGCCUCUUAUACAACAAAAAUCCAGUGUUUUCAUUGGACCAUAUGCCUCACACUCUUUCCUAAUAUGGUGGCAUACAUGUAUUUUAAGAGUUAUUAAUAUGUAGCGUAUAUUAUGUUUGUAAUAAACCCAACAGAAAUGCAUUAAUGUGAUACUCCCUUACCCGCAAGAAAACCACUAUGCAUCAUUCAUCAGACUUGAUAUCUAAAUUGAAAUAGAUAAAUCAACAUCUAACAUGAGAGAGAAAAAAGUGAAAAAGUGACGCUGGUGUCAUAGAGCAAUGGCGUAGAAAAAGGAACCAGGAGACUGAGGACUGCAUGAAAAGUGUGUAUCUGUAACGAUGCUAACAGUUGUAAUGAAUAAAUAACUAAAAGUUGAUGUAUUAUGUAUGAAGCAAUUUCUGCAGCUGGAGUGAAAACAGUUUUAAAAUGGGCAAGAAUGGUUUUACUUUCAACAUUUCUGUGGUGGAAUAUGAAACAAGGGACAGACAUUAAGGGAGGUGCCAUUAAUUAUCUGCGGCAGUUAGAUAUAAUACUUUAUGUCUCUAAUCACAUCAUGUGAGAAUAACUUGUGACAAAUUCAUCAGAACAUCAGUUUAAAUUGAUAAUUAUUGAGCUAUUUUAUGUGUUAUCAAACAAAAUAAUGUGCAUUGUUUCACACAGAGGCAGUUGAUGUGGCAGUUCAUUUUGUGGCAGCAGACCACACUUCACUUAAAUACUGCACACAAUGUCUAUCUUCCCAUUAUAUGCACAUCAUGAAGAUUGAGUGUGGCUCUGAUGUCGUCAUGUAGCCAUGGUUACCAAAUACACUGGCCUACACAUCAACACCUCCUCUAAAAAGAGAGAUGCCCAAGGAAGCUGGAUGUGAACUAUUCUCUCCAUGCUCUUCUUUCCUCUUCCCCAGUGUUAUAUAUAUAUACAGUGUAUAUGUAUGCGUUAACAUCAAAUCUGCAGUGUCUCAUAGCUGCAAAGGUCUCUUACUUAACAAGCAGUGGGCAGAGAGGAGAGACAAAUAAAUAUUGAAGUGGUGGGUCAGAGUCAGAUAACCAGUGUCAGUCAGUGAUGGUUCGGCUCUCUGUAGAGUUUGCUUCUUAAAUCCAAAAGAAAACACACAGUUUGGUCUUUUAAGAAAAACUGAAGCUUCCUAUAGUGAAUGUGAUACAAAAAUGUAUAUUUUCUAUACAAAGUCUAGGAACAACCAGACAAUAAAAGAGGAUCUUUUGCUUUCCAUCAAUGAUGAGAGCAAAUGUAUGAGUCAAGCACUGUGAAAAUUGUCACCGUGUUAUAACUUACUUGUCAGCAAGCUGCUUGAGGUUUAUCACAAACACAUAUGAGAUGCCACUGCUGCAACUUAUUCAUGGGAUUUCUACAAGUCAUUUGUAAUGGCUGAUUUAUUGUAGAAGGUCUGCAGAGUUCAAUAAUACUGUUUACACUGUUGAAUCUUGAUCUAAAUCUACUUUAAACUUGAUUUUAGGUAACUUAGCGUCAGGCGUUGUACCCAUUCAGCUAUUUCCAUUCAAUAUACAAUUGUAAGAGUAUUGACUACUUUUAUAUUCAAUUUUGCACUUGCUAAGAAAUUUGGGGCACCAUCUCCAUUAGGAUGAAAAUAAAUAUUGUUAAAUUAAUCAGUCUCACAACCAGGCUUAGGAAUUCUUUCCGAUACAAGGACCUCUGUCUUCUGCUCCAAAGAACAAACUAGACAACUUCUGCUGAUAAAUGAGGACAUUAAUUUAUUCAUUUAUUAAAUAUUUAUGUUUAUAUUUGUAGAUUUGUCCUUAGGUGUCCUUACUGUACGCAUCAUCGUUUCAUAUAUGAUACACUUAAAUAACCACUGCUUCACUCUAGGAGACUUUUUCAUUGGUUGCUCUUUGUUUUGCCUUUAGCUACUUUAACUAUCCUUUAUACCUAAAACAUCUUUUAGUUCCAUUCAGAUCAUCAUAUCCAUUCAGACACACUCAACAACCUUUUUAUUGUGCCUAGAAUCUUUAAAGAGACUGGGAGAUGUGCUUUUAAGUUUAAAGCACCGUCAGACUUGUUUAGAUCGAUUACUUCUUUCCAUGACUUCAAGACUUCUUUGCUUGUUUACCUCAAAUGUACUUGUUCUUGUUUUUGAUUGUAUUUACCUUCAUUUUUAGUUUCUAAGUAGACUCAGUACUUUGACAUAACGUUAUUUGGUCUGUUCAGUGUUUUUCUUCUAAUUCAUUCUUUGUACAGAUGACACUUGUAACAAAUGUAGUGGGUGUGGUCAGGGAUGGUGUGAGAGCCCUUAUGUGUAUGUAUAUAGCUUCAUUUAUACUCCAGAGUUGACGUGUCUGUUUAUACUACCCUCUGGAGUUCACUUGGAGGACGGGUUCCACACAUGCGCAGUAGAUCGGCGUUUACAGGAAGACAGCAUUGUGACCGUGCAGACCAGCGUGGUAACAACAAAUUGGAGGUUUGCGGAUGUCCACACCGAGUGUACGCGUACACCCUCUGUUGACGAAAUUUACCGAAAUCUUCUCGUGGGCCCUUGCAGACUCGCAGACGCGAAAAGUAUAAUUACAGCUUAUGUCCUUGAUGAUGUUACUAUGUUGAUUGUUUUGUGUCACUGGGUUGUUUAAUUUAUUCUCAUUACUACUUAUGUAUUUUGUUUUGUUUAAAUUUUGUUAACUUUGCCUGAGGACCUCCUCACGAGACAGUGCAUCUCAAGGGGUUUAUCCUUUAAUUAACUUUUGAAAUAAAAUAGCGAAAUGCCUACCAAUAACUGAAUAAAUGAAGCAUUAAUAAUGAGUACAUAAUGUAAGAAAAGAAUUAGACAAAUUAAUUGAAAACCUUUAAAUGGUGAGAUAAACCUUAACUAAGUGGGCAAUAAUGAAGUGGAGUAUGUGACUCAGAGUUAUCAUAAAGUGGUGGGACACUAGUAAACAUACUCAGCUUCUCUAAGAUGGAAUAAUCUCUAUUUAACAUCAACUCUUAAUCACAGAAAGUGGUGGAUUCUGCCUACUUGUUGAAGAAGU
Molecule: long non-coding RNA, 6152 nt
Organism: Thunnus maccoyii (southern bluefin tuna)
Lineage: Eukaryota; Metazoa; Chordata; Actinopteri; Scombriformes; Scombridae
Exons: 3
Source: RefSeq, a predicted model, not a curated record